AUACUUGAGUAGAGGGUCAAUCCAGCAGGACUCUUCAUCAAUUUGUUGAAUAGUGAGGGGCUCCUCAAGGCUCGAGGUUUUUAGUACUUCAAAAUAAGUCCCCUCCUCCCAAUCGGUAGGAAGCAAGGUAGCCAGCUUUGAUAGCGCAUCUACCUUAGUGUUGUACAUUUUGGAGACCUGCUGAAUGUGAAAGCUCAAAAAAGUUGAGGUUAAGUCAUUUACUUUAUGGAGAUAUCUUUUCAUAUUCUCCUCUUGGGCCUCAUAGCUACCCUUGAUAUGGCCAACC
RNAcentral lists this long non-coding RNA (286 nucleotides) under Elaeis guineensis (African oil palm). RNAcentral's name for it is "long non-coding RNA (EGUI_LNC043928)". The record is from RNAcentral. Lineage: Eukaryota; Viridiplantae; Streptophyta; Magnoliopsida; Arecales; Arecaceae.